This 481-nucleotide ribosomal RNA is filed under the name uncultured bacterium. RNAcentral describes it as "bacterial SSU rRNA". It matches the Rfam family "Bacterial small subunit ribosomal RNA", at positions 35 to 507 of the family's 1533-position model. The record is from RNAcentral.
ACGAACGGCUGGCGGCGUAGCCUAACACAUGCAAGUCGAACGGAACUGUUUUGAAAGAUUUCUUCGGAAUGAAUUUGAUUUAGUUUAGUGGCGACGGGUGAGUAACGCGUGAGUAACCUGCCUUCAAGAGGGGGAUAACAUUCUGAAAAGGAUGCUAAUACCGCAUGAUAUAUCGGAAUCACAUGAUUUUGAUAUCAAAGAUUUUAUCGCUUGAAGAUGGACUCGCGUCCGAUUAGCUAGUUGGUGAGGUAACAGCCCACCAAGGCGACGAUCGGUAGCCGGACUGAGAGGUUGAACGGCCACAUUGGGACUGAGACACGGCCCAGACUCCUACGGGAGGCAGCAGUGGGGAAUAUUGCACAAUGGGGGAAACCCUGAUGCAGCGACGCCGCGUGGAGGAAGAAGGUCUUCGGAUUGUAAACUCCUGUUGUUGAGGAAGAUAAUGACGGUACUCAACAAGGAAGUGACGGCUAACUACGUG